CUUGUCCACACAGCUCCCUCUCGGCCUGGUGGUCUUUGUCCAUUCUGCUACUGUGGCCAUAUAGGAUCAGUUUUCCAGACUCAGCCUCUGGGAUCUCACAUCAACCCAGACCCACGGACCCCAACGUGGCGCGUCCUGCACCCCACGGGUGUGGCCUGGCGGCCCUCCUCCCAAGCACUAUGUUCAGGCUGAGUGGAGACUCUCGCUAGCAAUGUGCAGGCUGCUAAGCAGAUGCGACCCAGUGACAGCUUGCACCUCAGGCCUUGCUCCUUGAGCUCCUUGCUCCGUGCGCUUUUCUCAAAACACGAUCCUCUUUAUCUUCAGAAUCGCAAAAGCGCUGCAGGGACUGGCGAGGCUCCACCACCUCGCAGAAGCCAACAGCACGGGCGGCCCGGGAACGCCCUCCCACCCACCUCCUGGGUGACCGUCAGCACCGCGGCCCGCAGAGCGCGCGAGCCCAGGGGCCCAACUGAGCCCCGCCACCAGAUGGGAUCCUGCUCUGCCUCGCGUGGCCACCGCGUGGGCCUCUCCCGCGCCCGCGCAGCCCGCCCCCUUCCCGGCGGCGGCCGCGGCGUCCAGGCCCGGCACGUGGCGUCGGCUGCGCAUGCGCGGGCUCGGGGCCUUGCCGGCGUCUCCGCGCAGACCAGGGAAGCAGGGUCCGGCGGGGCGGUGGCUGAGUGGCUCCGCAUGGGCCCCGGAAGCGCUGCGGGGAGGUGGGACUCGGCCUGACCGGGGGAAGCAGGGUCCGGUGGGGCGGUGGCGGAGUGGCUCCGCAUGGGCCCCGGAAGCGCUGCGGGCCACAGGUGCAGCAGUGUCCUGGGUCCAGGCUCACCUCUGUGGAACCAUCCUGCUGCUCACCCCAGGGCCCGGGGGACAUGUGUGCUUUCUCGCAGGAAGAGAGUGUACUGGGCAGAUAAAGCUGGAAAACGCAAAGAAGCUCAAAGUAAAGAAGCCAAAGCAGAAAAAUCAGGGAAGAUGGGGUGAAGACCAGCAGUGCUUGAGAGAAGAAAAUAAAUUCUCCAUUUCAAAAGAAAAUCCAGGGCGGAACGAUCCUAUUGUUAGUGAAAAACUCUGCUGAAGUGCCAGCCAGAGGUGUGGGAGUAUAGCCUGAGAGGCCCUGUUCCACGUGGGGUGUGAGUGACACCUCCCAGACGCGCAUGGCAGCAGGAGCUGGAGGGGCCAGCCUGCUUCUCUGUCUGUGACAGAGUUUACAACUGUGUCCUCCAGAGACCAGCAGACGCCUCAGGCUGGCAUUGCUGGGCUCCUGUGCCCAGUGCUGGUUCAGACCUUUCAGCCACUCAGGGAUGCCCUGUGGACCUGCCUCCAGCAGGGCUCUGCCAGGUCCGGCAUGGGGGUGACCCUGGCUGCCAGCGGGCUUGUGGGCUCUGCCUCUCAGCAUGUGGCUCUGCCCAGCAAGGGUAAGCUCCCUGGGAAGGACUGGCUGGUGCCUGCAGUGUGGUGCGUGUCUGUGUUUGGGAAUCGGGACCUGUCUAUGGGGAGUCUCCCACGGGUACCUUUCUUUUUUUUUUCGAGACAGAGUCUCACUCUGUCGCCCAGGCUG
Chlorocebus sabaeus (green monkey) is the source of this 1561-nucleotide non-coding RNA. NCBI's taxonomy places the organism in Eukaryota, Metazoa, Chordata, Mammalia, Primates, Cercopithecidae. The record is from RefSeq and is a predicted model, not a curated record.